Molecule: ribosomal RNA, 301 nt
Filed under: uncultured bacterium
Lineage: Bacteria
Description: partial 16S ribosomal RNA
Rfam family: Bacterial small subunit ribosomal RNA
Source: RNAcentral
CAGCAGCCGCGGGAAUACAGAGGGUGCGAGCGUUAAUCGGAUUUACUGGGCGUAAAGCGUGCGUAGGCGGCUUCUUAAGUCGGAUGUGAAAUCCCUGAGCUUAACUUAGGAAUUGCAUUCGAUACUGGGAAGCUAGAGUAUGGGAGAGGAUGGUAGAAUUCCAGGUGUAGCGGUGAAAUGCGUAGAGAUCUGGAGGAAUACCGAUGGCGAAGGCAGCCAUCUGGCCUAAUACUGACGCUGAGGUACGAAAGCAUGGGGAGCAAACAGGAUUAGAGACCCCCGUAGUCCCUGUCUUUAUACA